GAAGGGGCCCGAGCGUUAAUCGGAAUCACUGGGCUUAAAGGGUGCGCAGGCGGGACAGGUCAGUGUCUUGUGAAAUCCCACGGCUCAACCGUGGAAUUGCUGGGCAUACUACCCUGUCUUGAGCCCGGCAGGGGCCGUCGGAACUCUAGGUGGAGCGGUGAAAUGCGUAGAUAUCUAGAGGAACGCCAAAGGUGAAGACAGACGGCUGGGCCGGCGCUGACGCUCAGGCACGAAAGCGUGGGGAGCGAACGGGAUUAGAUACCCCGGUAGUCCACGCCGUAAACGAUGUGCACUAGAUCGAGGAGGUUUUGACGCCAUCUCGGUCGAAGUUAAAACAUUAAGUGCACCGCCUGGGGAGUACGGUCGCAAGGCUA
RNAcentral lists this ribosomal RNA (374 nucleotides) under uncultured organism. RNAcentral's name for it is "partial 16S ribosomal RNA". It matches the Rfam family "Bacterial small subunit ribosomal RNA", at positions 526 to 896 of the family's 1533-position model. The record is from RNAcentral.